UUCUCAUGUGAUGCUCUUCAUGAUGGACAAUUCAUACAAUACAGAAGUUAACCUUCCUCAUGAAGAGGAUGUAAGUUUUGCAGCUGAUGAACCAAUGAUGAACCAAUCAUGAUGCAGGAUACUUCAUAAGUCACCAAACCUCCCUUGGCAGUUUAACAUCUUUUGUUCUAGAAGGUUGUUUCACAGCUGUACCUGAACAUUGGCUCCACUGAAGGAAGAGAGUUGAAAGGGAAUUUGAAUUUCAAAGCCGAACAACAGAAGCAACAGUGUUGCCAUAAUCUGCAGGCUCUUACUUGAACACAGAAAAGCAGGAUGCCUCCUCAGAGAUAAACUGCCUUAAGAAAGGAGAUUGUUCCACGGAUGUUAUCAAAGCUUAAUGAACUAAAUAUUGUCCUUCUCUCCAGGAAAAGAGGUCGCACUUUGCUUAUGAGGAAGCUCUACUUCUGGUCCUGCAGGCAGUUUGCCAUCCCAAACCCAAC
This is a long non-coding RNA of Prionailurus viverrinus (fishing cat), 479 nucleotides long. RefSeq lists it as uncharacterized. The record is from RefSeq and is a predicted model, not a curated record. The transcript has 4 exons. Lineage: Eukaryota; Metazoa; Chordata; Mammalia; Carnivora; Felidae.